GGUGUGGACUAGGGAGAGAAGGAGAGGGGUGCACACCCCAUCUCCUUGUGGCGUGAAGACUCCUUGUGGGUGCACACCCCCUCUCCUUUCCCUUAUGAGAUAAGCAAAACAUAGGGAUUAAAAGAAUGAAUCCUAAUGAGAUUAGGAUUCCUCUUUAUAUAAAGCUUGGAGUUUGAUGAGGACUCCAAUUGAAUGCCUAUAUAAGGAGACCACCUCUUGACCUUUAGGAGCAAUCAAGCCUCCAAGUAAUCAACCAAAAAGGUCUCCAUGCCUCUUCUCUCUCCCUCUCUUUCUCCAACGCCCAAGAUUUUGGGUGUCCUUGCAUCCACACACCCAAAAAGUGUUUGAGCAUCUCCUCUUUCUUCCAAUCUUUGGUUGGUGGCUAAUCUACAUCAAGAAAGAUUCAAAAAAGAAGGAAAGGCUGAUCAAAGGGUCGAUCAAAAGGAUCCAAAGGCUGAUCAAUUGCAUGUAAAGAAAAUAAGAGAAACAAUCCAAGUUGUUCCUAUGUAGAUAUCCGUAGAGGUCGGACACUUUUGUGGCUAAGAGAAAAUUUAUUCAUCUUUCAAAUCUAGAUUCAAAGAAAAAAAAAGCAAAACAGAUAUGUGAUUUGAUCACACAAUUAAUUUUAGAUUAAAAAUCUACACAUGUUAUUUUCAACACAUGAACUAG
Molecule: long non-coding RNA, 669 nt
Filed under: Elaeis guineensis (African oil palm)
Lineage: Eukaryota; Viridiplantae; Streptophyta; Magnoliopsida; Arecales; Arecaceae
Description: long non-coding RNA (EGUI_LNC051984)
Source: RNAcentral